GAUGAACGCUAGCUACAGGCUUAACACAUGCAAGUCGAGGGGAAACGGCAUUAAGUGCUUGCACUUUUUGGACGUCGACCGGCGCACGGGUGAGUAACGCGUAUCCAACCUUCCCAUGACUAAGGGAUAACCUGCCGAAAGGCAGACUAAUACCUUAUGGUCUUCACUGACGGCAUCAGAUGUGAAGUAAAGAUUUAUCGGUUAUGGAUGGGGAUGCGUCUGAUUAGCUUGUUGGCGGGGUAACGGCCCACCAAGGCAACGAUCAGUAGGGGUUCUGAGAGGAAGGUCCCCCACAUUGGGACUGAGACACGGUCCAAACUCCUACGGGAGGCAGCAGUGAGGAAUAUUGGUCAAUGGGCGAGAGCCUGAACCAGCCAAGUAGCGUGCAGGAUGACGGCCCUAUGGGUUGUAAACUGCUUUUGUAUGGGGAUAAAGUCAAUCACGUGUGAUUGUUUGCAGGUACCAUACGAAUAAGGACCGGCUAAUUCCGUGCCAGCAGCCGCGGUAAUACGGAAGGUCCGGGCGUUAUCCGGAUUUAUUGGGUUUAAAGGGAGCGUAGGCUGGAGAUUAAGUGUGUUGUGAAAUGUAGACGCUCAACGUCUGACUUGCAGCGCAUACUGGUUUCCUUGAGUACGCACAACGUUGGCGGAAUUCGUCGUGUAGCGGUGAAAUGCUUAGAUAUGACGAAGAACUCCGAUUGCGAAGGCAGCUGACGGGAGCGCAACUGACGCUGAAGCUCGAAGGUGCGGGUAUCGAACAGG
Molecule: ribosomal RNA, 761 nt
Filed under: Prevotella melaninogenica
Lineage: Bacteria; Pseudomonadati; Bacteroidota; Bacteroidia; Bacteroidales; Prevotellaceae
Description: bacterial SSU rRNA
Rfam family: Bacterial small subunit ribosomal RNA
Source: RNAcentral